This 74-nucleotide transfer RNA is filed under the name Flavobacterium sediminis. RNAcentral's name for it is "tRNA-Trp". It matches the Rfam family "tRNA". Rfam says of the family: Transfer RNA (tRNA) molecules are approximately 80 nucleotides in length. The record is from RNAcentral. Lineage: Bacteria; Pseudomonadati; Bacteroidota; Flavobacteriia; Flavobacteriales; Flavobacteriaceae.
ACGGGCGUAGUUUAAGGGUAGAAUCGCGGUCUCCAAAACCGCUGGUGGGAGUUCGAAUCUCUCCGCCCGUGCAA